Molecule: ribosomal RNA, 2905 nt
Filed under: Klebsiella aerogenes
Lineage: Bacteria; Pseudomonadati; Pseudomonadota; Gammaproteobacteria; Enterobacterales; Enterobacteriaceae
Description: 23S ribosomal RNA
Rfam family: Bacterial large subunit ribosomal RNA
Source: RNAcentral
GGUUAAGCGACUAAGCGUACACGGUGGAUGCCCUGGCAGUCAGAGGCGAUGAAGGACGUGCUAAUCUGCGAAAAGCGUCGGUAAGGUGAUAUGAACCGUUACAGCCGGCGAUGUCCGAAUGGGGAAACCCAGUGCAAUUCGUUGCACUAUCGUUAACUGAAUACAUAGGUUAACGAGGCGAACCGGGGGAACUGAAACAUCUAAGUACCCCGAGGAAAAGAAAUCAACCGAGAUUCCCCCAGUAGCGGCGAGCGAACGGGGAGCAGCCCAGAGUCUGAAUCAGCUUGUGUGUUAGUGGAACGGUCUGGAAAGUCCGACGGUACAGGGUGAUAGUCCCGUACACCAAAAUGCACAGGCUGUGAACUCGAAGAGUAGGGCGGGACACGUGGUAUCCUGUCUGAAUAUGGGGGGACCAUCCUCCAAGGCUAAAUACUCCUGACUGACCGAUAGUGAACCAGUACCGUGAGGGAAAGGCGAAAAGAACCCCGGCGAGGGGAGUGAAAAAGAACCUGAAACCGUGUACGUACAAGCAGUGGGAGCACCUUCGGGUGUGACUGCGUACCUUUUGUAUAAUGGGUCAGCGACUUAUAUUCUGUAGCAAGGUUAACCGUAUAGGGGAGCCGCAGGGAAACCGAGUCUUAACUGGGCGUUAAGUUGCAGGGUAUAGACCCGAAACCCGGUGAUCUAGCCAUGGGCAGGUUGAAGGUUGGGUAACACUAACUGGAGGACCGAACCGACUAAUGUUGAAAAAUUAGCGGAUGACUUGUGGCUGGGGGUGAAAGGCCAAUCAAACCGGGAGAUAGCUGGUUCUCCCCGAAAGCUAUUUAGGUAGCGCCUCGUGAACUCAUCUUCGGGGGUAGAGCACUGUUUCGGCUAGGGGGUCAUCCCGACUUACCAACCCGAUGCAAACUACGAAUACCGAAGAAUGUUAUCACGGGAGACACACGGCGGGUGCUAACGUCCGUCGUGAAGAGGGAAACAACCCAGACCGCCAGCUAAGGUCCCAAAGUCACAGUUAAGUGGGAAACGAUGUGGGAAGGCACAGACAGCCAGGAUGUUGGCUUAGAAGCAGCCAUCAUUUAAAGAAAGCGUAAUAGCUCACUGGUCGAGUCGGCCUGCGCGGAAGAUGUAACGGGGCUAAACUGUGCACCGAAGCUGCGGCAGCGACACUUAGGUGUUGUUGGGUAGGGGAGCGUUCUGUAAGCCUGCGAAGGUGGCCUGUGAGGGUUGCUGGAGGUAUCAGAAGUGCGAAUGCUGACAUAAGUAACGAUAAUGCGGGUGAAAAGCCCGCACGCCGGAAGACCAAGGGUUCCUGUCCAACGUUAAUCGGGGCAGGGUGAGUCGACCCCUAAGGCGAGGCCGAAAGGCGUAGUCGAUGGGAAACAGGUUAAUAUUCCUGUACUUGGUGUUACUGCGAAGGGGGGACGGAGAAGGCUAUGUUAGCCGGGCGACGGUUGUCCCGGUUUAAGCAUGUAGGCGGAGGUUCCAGGUAAAUCCGGUACCUUUUAACGCUGAGGUGUGAUGACGAGGCACUACGGUGCUGAAGUAACAAAUGCCCUGCUUCCAGGAAAAGCCUCUAAGCAUCAGGUAACAUUGAAUCGUACCCCAAACCGACACAGGUGGUCAGGUAGAGAAUACCAAGGCGCUUGAGAGAACUCGGGUGAAGGAACUAGGCAAAAUGGUGCCGUAACUUCGGGAGAAGGCACGCUGAUAUGUAGGUGAAGCCCCUGCGGGUGGAGCUGAAAUCAGUCGAAGAUACCAGCUGGCUGCAACUGUUUAUUAAAAACACAGCACUGUGCAAACACGAAAGUGGACGUAUACGGUGUGACGCCUGCCCGGUGCCGGAAGGUUAAUUGAUGGGGUUAUCCGUAAGGAGAAGCUCUUGAUCGAAGCCCCGGUAAACGGCGGCCGUAACUAUAACGGUCCUAAGGUAGCGAAAUUCCUUGUCGGGUAAGUUCCGACCUGCACGAAUGGCGUAAUGAUGGCCAGGCUGUCUCCACCCGAGACUCAGUGAAAUUGAACUCGCUGUGAAGAUGCAGUGUACCCGCGGCAAGACGGAAAGACCCCGUGAACCUUUACUAUAGCUUGACACUGAACAUUGAGCCUUGAUGUGUAGGAUAGGUGGGAGGCUUUGAAGCGUGGACGCCAGUCUGCGUGGAGCCAACCUUGAAAUACCACCCUUUAAUGUUUGAUGUUCUAACGUUGGCCCCUAAUCGGGGUUGCGGACAGUGUCUGGUGGGUAGUUUGACUGGGGCGGUCUCCUCCCAAAGAGUAACGGAGGAGCACGAAGGUUAGCUAAUCCUGGUCGGACAUCAGGAGGUUAGUGCAAUGGCAUAAGCUAGCUUGACUGCGAGCGUGACGGCGCGAGCAGGUGCGAAAGCAGGUCAUAGUGAUCCGGUGGUUCUGAAUGGAAGGGCCAUCGCUCAACGGAUAAAAGGUACUCCGGGGAUAACAGGCUGAUACCGCCCAAGAGUUCAUAUCGACGGCGGUGUUUGGCACCUCGAUGUCGGCUCAUCACAUCCUGGGGCUGAAGUAGGUCCCAAGGGUAUGGCUGUUCGCCAUUUAAAGUGGUACGCGAGCUGGGUUUAGAACGUCGUGAGACAGUUCGGUCCCUAUCUGCCGUGGGCGCUGGAGAAUUGAGGGGGGCUGCUCCUAGUACGAGAGGACCGGAGUGGACGCAUCACUGGUGUUCGGGUUGUCAUGCCAAUGGCAUUGCCCGGUAGCUAAAUGCGGAAGAGAUAAGUGCUGAAAGCAUCUAAGCACGAAACUUGCCCCGAGAUGAGUUCUCCCUGACUCCUUGAGAGUCCUGAAGGAACGUUAAAGACGAUGACGUUGAUAGGUCGGGUGUGUAAGCGUAGCGAUACGUUGAGCUAACCGAUACUAAUGAACCGUGAGGCUUAACCUU